RNAcentral lists this transfer RNA (58 nucleotides) under Dipodomys ordii (Ord's kangaroo rat). It matches the Rfam family "tRNA", at positions 8 to 63 of the family's 71-position model. From Rfam's summary of the family: Transfer RNA (tRNA) molecules are approximately 80 nucleotides in length. Their secondary structure includes four short double-helical elements and three loops (D, anti-codon, and T loops). Lineage: Eukaryota; Metazoa; Chordata; Mammalia; Rodentia; Heteromyidae. The record is from Rfam by way of RNAcentral.
UGGCUCAGUGGUAGAGCACUUGCCUUGCAAGCCGGAGGCCCUGGGUUCGAUUCCUCAG